AUUGAUAGGCGCCGGGCAGCUGAGCUGGUAGGAGGACCAGACGGGGAGGGUCGGCUCCGCCCCCCAGCGUCCCGUGGCCAUGACGACCGCUCAGAGGGACUCCCUGGUGUGGAAGCUCGCGGGGCUGCUGCGGGAGUCCGGGGAUGUGGUCCUGUCUGGCUGUAGCACCCUGAGCCUGCUGACUCCCACACUGCAACAGCUGAACCACGUAUUUGAGCUGCACCUGGGGCCGUGGGGCCCUGGCCAGACAGGCUUUGUGGCUCUGCCCUCCCAUCCUGCCGACUCCCCUGUCAUUCUUCAGCUUCAGUUUCUCUUCGAUGUGCUGCAGAAAACGCUUUCACUCAAGCUGGUCCAUGUUGCUGGUCCUGGCCCCCCAGGGCCCAUCAAGAUUUUCCCCUUCAAAUCCCUUCGGCACCUGGAGGUAUGGGGACACGGGGAUGUUGGUGCAUAGCACCCAACUUGAGGCAGCCCCUUGGGGAUGGGAAAGAGAAGGGCCUCUUUGGUGAGGAGGCCAGGCCUGAGUAUACCCAUUGCUAUGCAGUCA
Molecule: small RNA, 544 nt
Filed under: Pongo abelii (Sumatran orangutan)
Lineage: Eukaryota; Metazoa; Chordata; Mammalia; Primates; Hominidae
Description: retained intron
Source: RNAcentral